Molecule: transfer RNA, 104 nt
Filed under: Halobaculum gomorrense
Lineage: Archaea; Methanobacteriati; Methanobacteriota; Halobacteria; Halobacteriales; Haloferacaceae
Rfam family: tRNA
About the family: Transfer RNA (tRNA) molecules are approximately 80 nucleotides in length. Their secondary structure includes four short double-helical elements and three loops (D, anti-codon, and T loops).
Source: Rfam by way of RNAcentral
GGGCCCAUAGCUUAGUCUGGUAUAGCACCCGGCUCAUACUCCGGCCGGUUUCGGCCGCCGGAUGGGUCACCGGGCGGUCGAGGGUUCGAAUCCCUCUGGGCCCA